UGAAAGGUAGACUUCAAUAUGACAGACAAA
RNAcentral lists this non-coding RNA (30 nucleotides) under Mus musculus (house mouse). The record is from RNAcentral. Lineage: Eukaryota; Metazoa; Chordata; Mammalia; Rodentia; Muridae.